UCCCUUUCAGGAUCUCAGCUGGAGAGUUUUCAGUCCUCUACCAGUCUCGGCUAUGGGAGGGAGAAUCGAGCAGAGGCCUGUCCAAUCCAUUCCUAGCUUGGCCAGUGGCUAGCGAGUGGAAGGCGAUCUGCUACAAGU
This 138-nucleotide small nucleolar RNA is filed under the name Ornithorhynchus anatinus (platypus). Lineage: Eukaryota; Metazoa; Chordata; Mammalia; Monotremata; Ornithorhynchidae. The record is from RNAcentral.